UUUAAGGAGGAUGGGUAGGAGUUCUUCAUUGUAUGUUUGUUAGAAUUUGCCUGUGAAGCCAUCUGGGCCUGGACCUUUGUAGGGAAUGUUUUUAUUACAUAUUCAAUUUCAUUCUAGUGAUAUGUCUGUUUAAAUUAUCUAUUCUUCUUGAUUCAGUUUUGGUGGGCUGUAUGUCUCUAGAAAAAAAUUGUCCAUUUCUUCCAGAUUGUCAAACUUGUUGCCAUAUAGUUGUUCAUAGUAUUCUCUUAUGGUUUUUUGUAUUUCUGCUGUAUCCGUUGUGAUUUCUCCUUUUUCAUUUAUAAUUUUGGUUAUUUGGGUUCUUUCUCUCCUCUUUUUAGUGAGUCUGGCCAGGGGUUUGUCAAUUUUGUUCACCUUUUCAAAGAACCAGCUCUUGGUUUUAUUAAUUUUCUCUAUUGUUUUUUGAGUCUCUAUUUUAUUGAUUUCUUCUUUGAUCUUUAUAAUUUCCUUCCUUCUGCUGACUUUAGGACUUUUUUGUUCUUCUUUUUCUAAUUCAUUUAGGUGGAGGGUUAAGUUGUCAAUUUGGGAUCUUUCUUCUUUUUUGAGAAAGGCCUGGAUUGCUAUAAAUUUCCCUCUGAGCACUGCUUUCGCAGCAUCCCAUAGAUUUUGAGAGGUUGUGUCUUCAUUAUCAUUUGUUUCAAGGUAGUUUUUAAUUUCCUUCUUGAUUUCCUCAUUGACCCAUUGGUUUUUUAGUAGCAUGUUGUUUAGUCUCCAUGGAUUUUUUUCUCAUUUCUUUUCCUGUGGUUGAUUUCUAGUUUCAUUCCAUUUUUUUUUCAGAGAAGAUACUUGAAAUAAUUUCUAUACUCUUAAAUUUGUUGAGGUUAGUUUUGUGCCCCAGUAUGUGAUUGAUCCUUGAGAAUAUUCCAUGUG
RNAcentral lists this long non-coding RNA (888 nucleotides) under Sus scrofa (pig). Its description in RNAcentral is "lncRNA (ENSSSCG00050000682.1)". The record is from RNAcentral. Lineage: Eukaryota; Metazoa; Chordata; Mammalia; Artiodactyla; Suidae.